This 575-nucleotide ribosomal RNA is filed under the name uncultured bacterium. RNAcentral's name for it is "bacterial SSU rRNA". It matches the Rfam family "Bacterial small subunit ribosomal RNA", at positions 338 to 916 of the family's 1533-position model. The record is from RNAcentral.
CCUACGGGAGGCAGCAGUGAGGAAUAUUGGACAAUGGGCGCAAGCCUGAUCCAGCCAUGCCGCGUGCAGGAAGAAGCAUCUAUGGUGUGUAAACUGCUUUUGUACAGGAAGAAACACUCCCUCGUGAGGGAGCUUGACGGUACUGUAAGAAUAAGGACCGGCUAACUCCGUGCCAGCAGCCGCGGUAAUACGGAGGGUCCGAGCGUUAUCCGGAAUCAUUGGGUUUAAAGGGUCCGUAGGCGGUUUAAUAAGUCAGUGGUGAAAUCUGGUCGCUCAACGAUCAAACGGCCAUUGAUACUGUUAGACUUGAAUUAUAAGGAAGUAACUAGAAUAUGUAGUGUAGCGGUGAAAUGCUUAGAUAUUACAUGGAAUACCAAUUGCGAAGGCAGGUUACUACUUAUGGAUUGACGCUGAUGGACGAAAGCGUGGGGAGCGAACAGGAUUAGAUACCCUGGUAGUCCACGCCGUAAACGAUGGAUACUAGCUGUUCGGAGCAAUCUGAGUGGCUAAGCGAAAGUGAUAAGUAUCCCACCUGGGGAGUACGUUCGCAGAAUGAAACUNAAAUGAAUUGACGG